UGUUUAUGUAACGACAACAGGAUAGAGGCAUCGGAGGCGCACUCUGUACACAAUAGUUCAGUGAUACUACGCUUGUGUCAUGAUAUCAACAACCUCGUGAUAAAGAAAAAGUUAUUUCUACGCGACCGAAGCUGGACGCAAAAAGGGGUAGUCAUUCCAUUGACGUUGGGAAGACAUGGUGGGGGCAGACAAGAAGAGCUGCAAGUUGGUAACCACUGGGAGCUGGCGUGGGGCCAGGGAAGCUGCCACUACAGUGUUGGGAGGCCAAGACUCACUUUGGGUUCCUGAACAUGGAUAGUAAAAAACUGGGACAACGCUCAGAUGAGAUAUAAAUCAUUGAUAUAUGUAUUUAUGUUAUUAACUAUGUUACCCAAUACAUAUACCUAGGACUAUGGUAGGACAAAGGUAAUUGUCUGAAUGCAAAUUGACGAGUUAUCGUUGUCCAAGCAGCCAUCUGGCUUUGAUAAAUUGACAUAGCAUUAUGUUCUGAUCUACGAUUAUAUGCCAAAUUAUCAUAGUAGGUUUAAUAUAUUUUGCACUAGCCCGCCCGUCCCGCUAACCUUCCUCGGAAAUAACACAAGCGGUAAAAACCGCAUGAAAAUCCGUCCAGUAGUUUCUGAGUUCGUCCCGAACAGACGUACAACGAUGCGGCAGAGGACUUUGUCUUAUAACAUGUAAGGAUGUGACGGCCUUUUUCUACGUCCAUGUAAAACGUUAUAAUUUUUAUGAUAUUAGUUAUGCCCUGUGAUGCUGUUAUGAUG
Molecule: long non-coding RNA, 761 nt
Organism: Plodia interpunctella (Indianmeal moth)
Lineage: Eukaryota; Metazoa; Arthropoda; Insecta; Lepidoptera; Pyralidae
Exons: 3
Source: RefSeq, a predicted model, not a curated record